RNAcentral lists this ribosomal RNA (246 nucleotides) under Triticum aestivum (bread wheat). RNAcentral describes it as "partial small subunit ribosomal RNA". Lineage: Eukaryota; Viridiplantae; Streptophyta; Magnoliopsida; Poales; Poaceae. The record is from RNAcentral.
AUGUGGGAGGACAGUGAUAAAAGUCGCUGGGACAAGCUAUUAGCACCACUAAGAUGUUCAAUGAAUGGCAAUGUAAUCUUGGUGACAACUAGAAAUCACUCUGUCGUAAAAAUGAUUUCUACUGUGGACCCCCAACAUUUGGAUAGCUUGAAAGAUGAUGACUUUUGGCCUAUGUUCAAGUCAUGUGCAUUUGGUGAUGAGUAUGUGAAGGACAUCCAGGUUUACAGGUUAUUGGACAGCGGAUAG